This 253-nucleotide ribosomal RNA is filed under the name uncultured bacterium. Its description in RNAcentral is "partial 16S ribosomal RNA". It matches the Rfam family "Bacterial small subunit ribosomal RNA", at positions 524 to 776 of the family's 1533-position model. The record is from RNAcentral.
UACGGAGGGUGCAAACGUUGCUCGGAAUCAUUGGGCGUAAGGCGCACGUAGGCGGCCUGUUAAGUCGGAUGUGAAAGCCCCGGGCUCAACUCGGGAAGUGCAUUCGAAACUGACAGGCUUGAAUAUGGAAGAGGGUCGCGGAAUUCCCGGUGUAGAGGUGAAAUUCGUAGAUAUCGGGAGGAACACCAGUGGCGAAGGCGGCGACCUGGGCCAAUAUUGACGCUGAGGUGCGAAAGCGUGGGGAGCAAACAGG